This 916-nucleotide ribosomal RNA is filed under the name uncultured organism. RNAcentral describes it as "bacterial SSU rRNA". It matches the Rfam family "Bacterial small subunit ribosomal RNA", at positions 27 to 943 of the family's 1533-position model. The record is from RNAcentral.
GAACGAACGCUGGCGGCGCGUUUUAAGCAUGCAAGUCGGACGGUAGAAAGGUGCUUGCACCUUUUGAGAGUGGCGAACGGGUGAGUAACACGUAGGUAAUCUACCUAGAAGUUGGGGAUAGCCUGUGGAAACAUAGGGUAAUACCGAAUGCGACCGUGUAAACGGUGAAAGAGGCUUUGGCCUCGCUUUUAGUUGAGCCUGCGGCUCAUUAGCUGGUUGGUGGGGUAACGGCCUACCAAGGCGACGAUGAGUAGCCGGCCUGAGAGGGCGACCGGUCACACUGGGACUGAGACACGGCCCAGACUCCUACGGGAGGCAGCAGCUAAGAAUCUUCCGCAAUGGUCGAAAGGCUGACGGAGCGACGCCGCGUGGACGAAGAAGGCCGGAAGGUUGUAAAGUCCUUUUCUCGGAGAAGAAUAAGGUGCGGAGGGAAUGCCGCAUUGAUGACGUUAUCUGAGGAAUAAGCCCCGGCUAAUUACGUGCCAGCAGCCGCGGUAACACGUAAGGGGCAAGCGUUGUUCGGAAUUAUUGGGCGUAAAGGGCGCGUAGGCGGCUGAGCAAGCCUGGUGUGAAAGGCCACAGCUUAACUGUGGGAGUGCGCUGGGAACUGUUUGGCUGGAGUUCAGGAGGGGAAUCUGGAAUUCCUGGUGUAGGGGUGAAAUCUGUAGAUAUCAGGAAGAACACCUGUGGCGAAGGCGAGAUUCUGGCCAUGAACUGACGCUGAGGCGCGAAAGCGUGGGGAGCGAACAGGAUUAGAUACCCUGGUAGUCCACGCUGUAAACGAUGUGCACUAGGUGUCGGCUGUAGUAACGGUCGGUGCCGAAGCAAACGCGAUAAGUGCACCGGCUGGGGAGUAUGCUCGCAAGGGUGAAACUCAAAGGAAUUGACCGGGGCCCGACAAGCGGUGGAGCAUGUG